RNAcentral lists this ribosomal RNA (257 nucleotides) under uncultured bacterium. RNAcentral describes it as "partial 16S ribosomal RNA". It matches the Rfam family "Bacterial small subunit ribosomal RNA", at positions 524 to 776 of the family's 1533-position model. The record is from RNAcentral.
GACGUAGGGCGCGAGCGUUGUCCGGAUUUAUUGGGCGUAAAGAGCUCGUAGGCGGCUUGUCGCGUCGAAUGUGAAAACUCGGGGCUCAACCCCGCGCUUGCAUUCGAUACGGGCAGGCUCGAGUUCGGUAGGGGAGACUGGAAUUCCUGGUGUAGCGGUGAAAUGCGCAGAUAUCAGGAGGAACACCGGUGGCGAAGGCAGGAUCUCUGGGGCCGUAAGCUGACGCUGAGGAGCGAAAGCAUGGGGGAGCGAACAGG